UCUACUAUGGCUGCAGUGCUGCCGUACCAAUUUGAGCCUGAGUCGGACCCCGAAAGCGAUAAUGGAGCUGAAGACGCUAACGACGAGCGUGAUUUUAGUCGUAGAAUGGACCAGGACAUUUCACAGUGGUGCACCUGUGGGAAUUGUGCCACUAUGCCCAACGAAGUGGAGAACGUCUGCUGUAGAGAAAUCCCAAAGGUACUACGACGAAUGAGCCAAGUGCCAGAAUCAAUUACCUGUAUGACACAACAUCCAGGCCUGGAGCCUGUGUGUCUAAACAUAUACA
Gadus morhua (Atlantic cod) is the source of this 286-nucleotide long non-coding RNA. RefSeq lists it as uncharacterized. The record is from RefSeq and is a predicted model, not a curated record. NCBI's taxonomy places the organism in Eukaryota, Metazoa, Chordata, Actinopteri, Gadiformes, Gadidae. The transcript is spliced from 3 exons.